Molecule: ribosomal RNA, 506 nt
Filed under: DMSP-degrading marine bacterium JA32
Lineage: Bacteria; Pseudomonadati; Pseudomonadota; Gammaproteobacteria
Description: bacterial SSU rRNA
Rfam family: Bacterial small subunit ribosomal RNA
Source: RNAcentral
GGGGGGAACCCUGAUCCAGCCAUGCCGCGUGUGUGAAGAAGGCCUUUUGGUUGUAAAGCACUUUAAGCAGUGAAGAAGAAGUCAUGGUUAAUACCCAUGAUGGAUGACAUUAGCUGCAGAAUAAGCACCGGCUAACUCUGUGCCAGCAGCCGCGGUAAUACAGAGGGUGCGAGCGUUAAUCGGAAUUACUGGGCGUAAAGCGAGCGUAGGUGGCUUAAUAAGUCAGAUGUGAAAUCCCCGGGCUUAACCUGGGAACUGCAUCUGAAACUGUUCGGCUAGAGUAGGUGAGAGGGAAGUAGAAUUCCAGGUGUAGCGGUGAAAUGCGUAGAGAUCUGGAGGAAUACCGAUGGCGAAGGCAGCUUCCUGGCAUCAUACUGACACUGAGGUUCGAAAGCGUGGGUAGCAAACAGGAUUAGAUACCCUGGUAGUCCACGCCGUAAACGAUGUCUACUAGUCGUUGGGUCCCUUGAGGACUUAGUGACGCAGCUAACGCAAUAAGUAGACCG